This is a long non-coding RNA of Haliotis rufescens (red abalone), 3303 nucleotides long. RefSeq lists it as uncharacterized. The transcript is spliced from 3 exons. Lineage: Eukaryota; Metazoa; Mollusca; Gastropoda; Lepetellida; Haliotidae. The record is from RefSeq and is a predicted model, not a curated record.
AGAGAGAAAGAGAUUGUGGGCAGUCUAGGAGCUAUAGAGGUAGGGAAGUCAAGUGGAUGGCAGAGAGAAAUAGAUUGUGGGCAGUUUGUGCUACAGAGGUAGGGAAGUCAAGUGGAUGGCAGAAUGAAAUAGAUUGUGGGCAGUCUAGGAGCUAUAGAGGUAGGGAAGUCAAGUGGAUGGCAGAGAGAAAGAGAUUGUGGGCAGUCUAGGAGCUAUAGAGGUAGGGAAGUCAAGUGGAUGGCAGAGUGAAAUAGAUUGUGGGCAGUCUAGGAGCUAUAGAGGUAGGGAAGUCAAGUGGAUGGCAGAGAGAAAGAGAUUGAGGGCAGUCUAGGAGCUAUAGAGGUAGGGAAGUCAAGUGUAUGGCAGAGAGAAAUAGAUUGUGGGCAGUCUAGGAGCUAUAGAGGUAGGGAAGUCAAGUGGAUGGCAGAGUGAAAGAGAUUGUGGGCAGUCUAGGAGCUAUAGAGGUAGGGAAGUCAAGUGGAUGGCAGAGUGAAAGAGAUUGUGGGCAGUCUAGGAGCUAUAGAGGUAGGGAAGUCAAGUAGAUGGCAGAGUGAAAGAGAUUGUGGGCAGUCUAGGAGCUAUAGAGGUAGGGAAGUCAAGUGGAUGGCAGAGAGAAAUAGAUUGUGGGCAGUUUGUGCUACAGAGGUAGGGAAGUCAAGUGGAUGGCAGAGAGAAAGAGUUUGUGGGCAGUCUAGGAGCAAUAGAGGUAGGGAAGUCAAGUGUAUGGCAGAGUGAAAUAGAUUGUGGGCAGUCUAGGAGCUAUAGAGGUAGGGAAGUCAAGUGGAUGGCAGAGUGAAAUAGAUUGAGGGCAGUCUAGGUGCUAUAGAAGUAGGGAAGUCAAGUGGAUGGCAGAGAGAAAUAGAUUGUGGGCAGUCUAGGAGCUAUAGAGGUAGGGAAGUCAAGUGGAUGGCAGAGAGAAAGAGAUUGUGGGCAGUCUAGGAGCAAUAGAGGUAGGGAAGUCAAGUGGAUGGCAGAGUGAAAUAGGGUGUGGGCAGUCUAGGAGCUAAAGAGGUAGGGAAGUCAAGUGGAUAGCAGAGUGAAAUAGAUUGUAGGCAUUCUAGGAGCUAUAGAGGUAGGGAAGUCAAGUGGAUGGCAGAAUGAAAUAGGUUGUGGGCAGUCUAGGAGCAAUAGAGAUAGGGAAGUCAAGUGGAUGGCAGAGAGAAAGAGAUUGUGGGCAGUCUAGGAGCUAUAGAGGUAGGGAAGUCAAGUGGAUGGCAGAGAGAAAUAGACUGUGGGCAGUCUAGGAGCUAUAGAGGUAGGGAAGUCAAGUGGAUUGCAGAGAGAAAUAGAUUGUGGGCACUUUGUGCUACAGAGGUAGGGAAGUCAAGAGGAUGGCAGAGAGAAAGAGAUUGUGCAUAGUCUAGGAGCUAUAGAGAUAGGGAAGUCAAGUGUAUGGCAGAGAGAAAUAGAUUGUGGGCAGUCUAGGAGCUAUAGAGGUAGGGAAGUCAAGUGGAUGGCAGAGAGAAAGAGAUUGUGGGCAGUUUGUGCUACAGAGGUAGGGAAGUCAAGUGGAUGGCAGAAUGAAAUAGAUUGUGGGCAGUCUAGGAGCUAUAGAGGUAGGGAAGUCAAGUGGAUGGCAGAGAGAAAGAGAUUGUGGGCAGUCUAGGAGCUAUAGAGGUAGGGAAGUCAAGUGGAUGGCAGAGUGAAAUAGAUUGUGGGCAGUCUAGGAGCUAUAGAGGUAGGGAAGUCAAGUGGAUGGCAGAGUGAAAGAGAUUGUGGGCAGUCUAGGAGCUAUAGAGGUAGGGAAGUCAAGUGUAUGGCAGAGAGAAAUAGAUUGUGGGCAGUCUAGGAGCUAUAGAAGUAGGGAAGUCAAGUGGAUGGCAGAGAGAAAUAGAUUUUGGGCAGUCUAGGAGCUAUAGAGGUAGGGAAGUCAAGUGGAUGGCAGAGAGAAAUAGAUUGUGGGCAGUCUAGGAGCUAUAGAGGUAGGGAAGUCAAGUGGAUGGCAGAGAGAAAGAGAUUGUGGGCAGUUUGUGCUACAGAGGUAGGGAAGUCAAGUGGAUGGCAGAGAGAAAGAGAUUGUGCGUAGUCUAGGAGCUAUAGAGAUAGGGAAGUCAAGUGGAUGGCAGAGAGAAAGAGAUUGUGGGCAGUCUAGGAGCUAUAGAGGUAGGGAAGUCAAGUGGAUGGCAGAGAGAAAUAGAUUGUGGGCAGUCUAGGAGCUAUAGAGGUAGGGAAGUCAAGUGGAUGGCAGAGAGAAAGAGAUUGUGGGCAGUCUAGGAGCUAUAGAGGUAGGGAAGUCAAGUGGAUGGCAGAGAGAAAUAGAUUGUGGGCAGUCUAGGAGCUAUAGAGGUAGGGAAGUCAAGUGGAUGGCAGAGAGAAAGAGAUUGUGGGCAGUCUAGGAGCUAUAGAGGUAGGGAAGUCAAGUGGAUGGCAGAGUGAAAUAGAUUGUGGGCAGUCUAGGAGCUAUAGAGGUAGGGAAGUCAAGUGGAUGGCAGAGUGAAAUAGAUUGUGGGCAGUCUAGGAGCUAUAGAGGUAGGGAAGUCAAGUGGAUGGCAGAGAGAAAUAGAUUGUGGGCAGUUUGUGCUACAGAGGUAGGAAAGUCAAGUGGAUGGCAGAGAGAAAGAGUUUGUGGGCAGUCUAGGAGCAAUAGAGGUAGGGAAGUCAAGUGUAUGGCAGAGUGAAAUAGAUUGUGGGCAGUCUAGGAGCUAUAGAGGUAGGGAAGUCAAGUGGAUGGCAGAGUGAAAUAGAUUGAGGGCAGUCUAGGUGCUAUAGAAGUAGGGAAGUCAAGUGGAUGGCAGAGAGAAAUAGAUUGUGGGCAGUCUAGGAGCUAUAGAGGUAGGGAAGUCAAGUGGAUGGCAGAGUGAAAUAGAUUGAGGGCAGUCUAGGUGCUAUAGAAGUAGGGAAGUCAAGUGGAUGGCAGAGAGAAAUAGAUUGUGGGCAGUUUGUGCUACAGAGGUAGGAAAGUCAAGUGGAUGGCAGAGAGAAAGAGUUUGUGGGCAGUCUAGGAGCAAUAGAGGUAGGGAAGUCAAGUGUAUGGCAGAGUGAAAUAGAUUGUGGGCCGUCUAGGAGCUAUAGAGGUAGGGAAGUCAAGUGGAUGGCAGAGUGAAAUAGAUUGAGGGCAGUCUAGGUGCUAUAGAAGUAGGGAAGUCAAGUGGAUGGCAGAGAGAAAUAGAUUGUGGGCAGUCUAGGAGCUAUAGAGGUAGGGAAGUCAAGUGGAUGGCAGAGAGAAAUAGAUUGUGGGCAGUUUGUGCUACAGAGGUAGGGAAGUCAAGUGGAUGGCAGAGAGAAAUAGAUUGUGGGCAGUCUAGGAGCUAUAGAGGUAGGGAAGUCAAGUGGAUGGCAGAGAGAAAGAGAUUGUGCGUAGUC